Molecule: long non-coding RNA, 572 nt
Filed under: Homo sapiens (human)
Lineage: Eukaryota; Metazoa; Chordata; Mammalia; Primates; Hominidae
Description: long non-coding RNA NONHSAT159195.1
Source: RNAcentral
UAGUGAAGUUCUAUUGGUGAUUAACUGCUGGUUCUCACGGUGCUGAGAUGAGGACCUCAGUGCUUCCUGUGACACCAUGUGGAGGAGCUGAGAUGGAGAAGCAGAAGGACUUCUAAUUCUGGAAAGGCAUACACAAAGGCCCCCAGCACAAGAGAACUACGCAGAGCUGGAGGGAGUCCAUGGACUGUCCCACGGCACACUAGAAUCUAUCACCUCUGUCCCUUCUCCAUGCUCCCAACUGCAAAGGGAGGAAGAGGUGGUGUCUUUGAGGAUGAUUUGAAACUGACCUCUAGAGAAAGAGGAUCCGUGGAAGAGUUUUCUAGUGAUCUAGAAGGCUAUCAGAUAGAAGAGGGAGGCAGAGAUAUAGACCUUUUUGCAUUUCUGACAAUCAACCGAUGGCUCCACCUGGACCUGCCAACCCCGCCAAGCAGUCGUGGACCCAGAAGCAGACUCCCUGGCCUGCCAAACUAUCCUUACAAAACCCUAGCCUCCAACUUUUCAGGAAGAUUGAUUUGAGUAAUAACUCCAUUUACCACGUGGCACGGCUGGCCUCAAUGAUUAAACUCUAUUGC